AAUAUGGGGGGACCAUCCUCCAAGGCUAAAUACUCCUGACUGACCGAUAGUGAACCAGUACCGUGAGGGAAAGGCGAAAAGAACCCCGGCGAGGGGAGUGAAAAAGAACCUGAAACCGUGUACGUACAAGCAGUGGGAGCACGCUUCGGCGUGUGACUGCGUACCUUUUGUAUAAUGGGUCAGCGACUUAUAUUCUGUAGCAAGGUUAACCGAAUAGGGGAGCCGAAGGGAAACCGAGUCUUAACUGGGCGUUAAGUUGCAGGGUAUAGACCCGAAACCCGGUGAUCUAGCCAUGGGCAGGUUGAAGGUUGGGUAACACUAACUGGAGGACCGAACCGACUAAUGUUGAAAAAUUAGCGGAUGACUUGUGGCUGGGGGUGAAAGGCCAAUCAAACCGGGAGAUAGCUGGUUCUCCCCGAAAGCUAUUUAGGUAGCGCCUCGUGAAUUCAUCUCCGGGGGUAGAGCACUGUUUCGGCAAGGGGGUCAUCCCGACUUACCAACCCGAUGCAAACUGCGAAUACCGGAGAAUGUUAUCACGGGAGACACACGGCGGGUGCUAACGUCCGUCGUGAAGAGGGAAACAACCCAGACCGCCAGCUAAGGUCCCAAAGUCAUGGUUAAGUGGGAAACGAUGUGGGAAGGCCCAGACAGCCAGGAUGUUGGCUUAGAAGCAGCCAUCAUUUAAAGAAAGCGUAAUAGCUCACUGGUCGAGUCGGCCUGCGCGGAAGAUGUAACGGGGCUAAACCAUGCACCGAAGCUGCGGCAGCGACACUAUGUGUUGUUGGGUAGGGGAGCGUUCUGUAAGCCUGUGAAGGUGGCCUGUGAGGGUUGCUGGAGGUAUCAGAAGUGCGAAUGCUGACAUAAGUAACGAUAAAGCGGGUGAAAAGCCCGCUCGCCGGAAGACCAAGGGUUCCUGUCCAACGUUAAUCGGGGCAGGGUGAGUCGACCCCUAAGGCGAGGCCGAAAGGCGUAGUCGAUGGGAAACAGGUUAAUAUUCCUGUACUUGGUGUUACUGCGAAGGGGGGACGGAGAAGGCUAUGUUGGCCGGGCGACGGUUGUCCCGGUUUAAGCGUGUAGGCUGGUUUUCCAGGCAAAUCCGGAAAAUCAAGGCUGAGGCGUGAUGACGAGGCACUACGGUGCUGAAGCAACAAAUGCCCUGCUUCCAGGAAAAGCCUCUAAGCAUCAGGUAACAUCAAAUCGUACCCCAAACCGACACAGGUGGUCAGGUAGAGAAUACCAAGGCGCUUGAGAGAACUCGGGUGAAGGAACUAGGCAAAAUGGUGCCGUAACUUCGGGAGAAGGCACGCUGAUAUGUAGGUGAAGCGACUUGCUCGUGGAGCUGAAAUCAGUCGAAGAUACCAGCUGGCUGCAACUGUUUAUUAAAAACACAGCACUGUGCAAACACGAAAGUGGACGUAUACGGUGUGACGCCUGCCCGGUGCCGGAAGGUUAAUUGAUGGGGUUAGCGGUAACGCGAAGCUCUUGAUCGAAGCCCCGGUAAACGGCGGCCGUAACUAUAACGGUCCUAAGGUAGCGAAAUUCCUUGUCGGGUAAGUUCCGACCUGCACGAAUGGCGUAAUGAUGGCCAGGCUGUCUCCACCCGAGACUCAGUGAAAUUGAACUCGCUGUGAAGAUGCAGUGUACCCGCGGCAAGACGGAAAGACCCCGUGAACCUUUACUAUAGCUUGACACUGAACAUUGAGCCUUGAUGUGUAGGAUAGGUGGGAGGCUUUGAAGUGUGGACGCCAGUCUGCAUGGAGCCGACCUUGAAAUACCACCCUUUAAUGUUUGAUGUUCUAACGUUGGCCCGUUAUCCGGGUUGCGGACAGUGUCUGGUGGGUAGUUUGACUGGGGCGGUCUCCUCCUAAAGAGUAACGGAGGAGCACGAAGGUUGGCUAAUCCUGGUCGGACAUCAGGAGGUUAGUGCAAUGGCAUAAGCCAGCUUGACUGCGAGCGUGACGGCGCGAGCAGGUGCGAAAGCAGGUCAUAGUGAUCCGGUGGUUCUGAAUGGAAGGGCCAUCGCUCAACGGAUAAAAGGUACUCCGGGGAUAACAGGCUGAUACCGCCCAAGAGUUCAUAUCGACGGCGGUGUUUGGCACCUCGAUGUCGGCUCAUCACAUCCUGGGGCUGAAGUAGGUCCCAAGGGUAUGGCUGUUCGCCAUUUAAAGUGGUACGCGAGCUGGGUUUAGAACGUCGUGAGACAGUUCGGUCCCUAUCUGCCGUGGGCGCUGGAGAACUGAGGGGGGCUGCUCCUAGUACGAGAGGACCGGAGUGGACGCAUCACUGGUGUUCGGGUUGUCAUGCCAAUGGCACUGCCCGGUAGCUAAAUGCGGAAGAGAUAAGUGCUGAAAGCAUCUAAGCACGAAACUUGCC
RNAcentral lists this ribosomal RNA (2373 nucleotides) under Escherichia coli. RNAcentral describes it as "partial 23S ribosomal RNA". It matches the Rfam family "Bacterial large subunit ribosomal RNA", at positions 441 to 2798 of the family's 2925-position model. Lineage: Bacteria; Pseudomonadati; Pseudomonadota; Gammaproteobacteria; Enterobacterales; Enterobacteriaceae. The record is from RNAcentral.